AGAGAGGGACUGCUGCUUGGUAGUAGAACAUCUGCUAUGCAUGCAGAAGGUUCCAGGUUCAAUUCCUGGCUUCUCUA
This is a non-coding RNA of Podarcis lilfordi (Lilford's wall lizard), 77 nucleotides long. The record is from the annotation of a GenBank genome assembly. Lineage: Eukaryota; Metazoa; Chordata; Lepidosauria; Squamata; Lacertidae.